This 373-nucleotide ribosomal RNA is filed under the name uncultured bacterium. Its description in RNAcentral is "bacterial SSU rRNA". It matches the Rfam family "Bacterial small subunit ribosomal RNA", at positions 525 to 896 of the family's 1533-position model. The record is from RNAcentral.
ACGGAGGGUGCAAGCGUUGUUCGGAUUUAUUGGGCGUAAAGCGCGUGUAGGCGGUUUUUUAAGUCUGAUGUGAAAGCCCCGGGCUCAACCUGGGAAGUGCAUUGGAUACUGGAAGACUUGAGUACGGGAGAGGGUAGUGGAAUUCCUAGUGUAGGAGUGAAAUCCGUAGAUAUUAGGAGGAACACCGGUGGCGAAGGCGGCUGCCUGGACCGAUACUGACGCUGAGACGCGAAAGCGUGGGGAGCAAACAGGAUUAGAUACCCUGGUAGUCCACGCCGUAAACGAUGAGUACUAGGUGUUGCGGGUAUUGACCCCUGCAGUGCCGCAGCUAACGCAUUAAGUACUCCGCCUGGGAAGUACGGUCGCAAGACUA